AGAUAAAGCUUGUUAAGGUGGAGGUGAUGGAGCAAUGCUGACCACUCCACCAGUGUCCUCAACCCAUCUACCUUCCCUCAGUCUGAAGAGGAUGAGGAACACAGUAGAGGAAUUGGUAACUUCUAAGAAAAAAGGACAUCAUGAAAGAUUGAACAUGAUCUACUCAUGAACUAAUAGAGACAAAUGAGAAUGCAGAAGACAAAACGCUAUACCUCCAAGGAUAACGAUCAGCCUAUCCUCCUAAUGUCAAUUUUUUUCCCUUGAGCUGAAAACCAUUGCUAAAGCAAUGUUGACACCAAAAUGCAAACAUGGUUAUUUGAUUGUGCAUUUUAGUCUGGUGUGUGUGUCCCAGUUUUCUGUUCACACAUAGUGAAACCUCAGUACUCGAACUUAAUUCAUUCCAGAAGGCUGUUCGAGUGCCAAUCUGUUAGAGUAUCGAACAGAUCGGCUGUUAUUACUAAUCUACAUAGGCCCCAUGGUGACUUAUUUAUAUAAUAUAAAAAACACCAAAAAAUGCGAAGAAACACGAAAUAGUUUACAGUGAAGUUCUGGCACGUAGUAUUUGUUUGGUCAUGUGCCGAGCUUUGUUAGAGUAGAGUAGAGGGAGCUGUUCGAGUACUGAGGUUCCACUGUACAAGGUUUUUAACAGCUUUAUGGCUGCUGUAGUUUAGAAUUUAAUUUUAUUAACCAAUAAAUUGUGGAGUACCCAGAAAUUAAAACUCCUGUGCAGCAAAAUGGUAAUAAUUACUUUUUUAGACAAAGUGUUCUAAAAAAAAAAAAAAUUUAAAUUAAAGGAAAACUUCAUUUUUAUGGCAUUUUGAAGUUGGCAAAAAAAAUCAGUUGUCAGCAACAUCAGCAUAAAUACACACACAAGUAUUUGUUUUCCAAUUUACUUAUGCCUAAGUAUGUUUACUUCUAUUUUUGAUACCUAACAUUACGUGCACUACUUUGUUAGGAUAACAAGUGUGUUGUAAGGAGUUUUAUUACUUGAAACAUGCAGAGCUGCAUAGCAUGCAAUAGCCCCAAUAGAAAUAUUCACUGUUAAUUUGUACAAAUAAUUAUUUUUUGAUUUCCAUUAUUUAUUUUGUCCUCCAAAUCAAUGUACCAUGAAAUUUUAUGAUACUGUAGUACAAUUUUUUUCCAAGUUGUAAUGCUCCCUGAAGCAAGGAAAUCACACUAUUUGAUUUUAUUGGAUUGUCGUAAGUUAAGUCUACAUAGUAUCGUGGGGUGUCCUAAGUUAAGUCUACAUAGCAUCAUGCUGAAAUAAAGAAUCUUAAUCUUUGCAGAAUUUUAUUGUUAGUAUUUUUUUUUCAACAAACUGGCCAUAUCCCACCAAGGCAGGGUGGCCCAAAAAGAAAAACUAAAGUUUCUCUUUUUAAAUUUAGUAAUUUAUACAAGAGAAGGGGUUACUAGCCCCUUGCCCCCAGCAUUUUAGUCGCCUCUUACAACACACAUGGCUUACGGAGGAAGAAUUCUGUUCCACUUCCCCAUGGAGAUAAGAGGAAAUAAACAAGAACAAGAACUAGAAAGAAAAUAGCAGAAAACCCAGAGGGGUGUGCGUAUAUAUAUGCUUGUAUAUGUAUGCGUAGUGUGACCUAAGUGUAAGUAGAAGAAGCAAGAUGUACCUGAAAUCUUGCAUGUUUAUGAGAGAAAAAAAAAGGACACUAACAAUCCUACCAUCAUGUAAAACAAUUACAGGCUUUCGUUUUACACUCGCUUGGCAGGAUGGUAGUACCUCCCUGGGCGGUUGCUGUCUACCAACCUACUACCUAAUUUUAGUAUUAUAAUAGCAUAAUAAAUUUUGAACAAAUAAAGCAAUUUCCUUUCAGUUGCACACCCAGUUUGUUGGCAGGUAAGCAGGUGGUAUCAUGACAGGUUUUAGGCAUUGUUUACAUGUACUACUGAGGUAGUGUUAUCCAUGAUGCACUGAAUGAACCAUUUGAUCCUGGAUUUUUUCCCAGUUGAGCUCAAACCUCAAAUGGUGAUAGGCAGCAACCCUGAAGGCACAAAAAAUUAGGCAGAGGGUGUAUUUUAUAAAGACACCAUCUGGUCCCUUGACAUAUGAGGCAUGUCAGAAAGCUUAAGGGUUAAUGGUUGACAAUCUAACUUAAGGAAACCAAAACUAAAUAGCAUAUACUGAGAAAUCUCCUUAAAAAAUUCUAUAAGAAAUCGACAGUGUUAGGAGGACAGGCUGUAACCACACACUAACAGGAAGAAAUAAAAGACAACACUCAUUAUACCGUAUUUCUCCUUACAACAUGAAUACUAUAAUAAAAAUUAUGAAAUAUUGUACCUGAUAAUUAGGCACAAAUUUGCAAAUAUAUUCCAAAAUGUGGAAUAAAUAGUUUUAAAUUAUAUAGGAGGAUCUUUUACAUAUAAUAUCAUACAGUAAGACUUAAGAAAUCGUAAUGACACGAUUGCAAAUAAACCAUACCCCCG
Molecule: long non-coding RNA, 2439 nt
Organism: Cherax quadricarinatus
Lineage: Eukaryota; Metazoa; Arthropoda; Malacostraca; Decapoda; Parastacidae
Source: RefSeq, a predicted model, not a curated record